This 513-nucleotide ribosomal RNA is filed under the name uncultured bacterium. Its description in RNAcentral is "bacterial SSU rRNA". It matches the Rfam family "Bacterial small subunit ribosomal RNA", at positions 17 to 505 of the family's 1533-position model. The record is from RNAcentral.
UCCUGGCUCAGAAUAAACGCUGGCGGCGUGCCUAACACAUGCAAGUCGAACGAGAAAGUCUGUUUUCGGACGGGCGAGUAAAGUGGCGUACGGGUGAGUAACGCGUAGGUAACCUGCCCUUGUGUUCGGGAUAACAGUGCGAAAGCGCUGCUAAUACCGGAUGUGCCCAUCAGGCGGCGGUUUGAUGGACAAAGUCGGCCUCUCGCAGAAGCCGAUGCACGGGGAUGGGCCUGCGUCCUAUCAGCUUGUUGGCAGGGUAACGGCCUACCAAGGCUUCGACGGGUAGCUGGUUUGAGAGGAUGAUCAGCCACACUGGCACUGAAACACGGGCCAGACUCCUACGGGAGGCAGCAGUGAGGAAUUUUGCGCAAUGGCCGCAAGGCUGACGCAGCAACGCCGCGUGGGUGAAGAAGGCCUUCGGGUCGUAAAGACCCUGUCAGGUGGGAAGAAUGACCGUGAGUCGAAUAGGCUUACGGUGUACGGUACCACCAAAGGAAGCACCGGCUAACCGUC